UUGGAGGGCAAGUCUGGUGCCAGCAGCCGCGGUAAUUCCAGCUCCAAUAGCGUAUAUUAAAGUUGUUGCAGUUAAAAAGCUCGUAGUUGAACUUCGGGGUUCACCCAUUGGUCAGGCUUAAUUGUCUGUACUGGUGAGAUGAGUCUCUACCUUCUGAGGAACUUUCAUGCCAUUUAUUUGGUGUGGUUGGAAAUCAGGACUGUUACUUUGAAAAAAUUAGAGUGUUUAAAGCAGGCUAACGUCUGAAUACAUUAGCAUGGAAUAAUGAAAUAGGACGGAUUGAUUCUAUUUCGCUGGUUUCUAGGAUCACCGUAAUGAUUAAUAGGGAUAGUUGGGGGCAUUAGUAUUCAAUUGUCAGAGGUGAAAUUCUUGGAUUUAUUGAAGACUAACUACUGCGAAAGCAUUUGCCAAGGAUGUUUUCAUUAAUCAAGAACGAAAGUUAGGGGAUCGAAGACGAUCAGAUACCGUCGUAGUCUUAACCAUAAACUAUGCCGACUAGGGAUCGGACGAAGUUAUUAAAAAUGACGCGUUCGGCGCCUUACGGGAAAC
This 549-nucleotide ribosomal RNA is filed under the name uncultured Diversispora. RNAcentral describes it as "SSU rRNA". It matches the Rfam family "Eukaryotic small subunit ribosomal RNA", at positions 548 to 1098 of the family's 1831-position model. The record is from RNAcentral. Lineage: Eukaryota; Fungi; Glomeromycota; Glomeromycetes; Diversisporales; Diversisporaceae.